This 189-nucleotide long non-coding RNA is filed under the name Fukomys damarensis (Damara mole-rat). RNAcentral's name for it is "lncRNA (ENSFDAG00000024149.1)". The record is from RNAcentral. Lineage: Eukaryota; Metazoa; Chordata; Mammalia; Rodentia; Bathyergidae.
GGACAUUUCUGUGAUCCAACAUCCUGAGAAUGAAGAAGCAAUUCUUACACAGUUUUCAAGGACUCAAGGAAGAAAGUUUAAGAUGACUGUUAUCACAUCACUUGCUUCUACUGGAGAAGUAAAGGAGUGAAUUGAAAGCUACUUAGGGAAAGGAGACCAGCCAAUAUUCAACCACAGAAGGAGGAAAGG